UGUCGAAUNAAAUUNUAGGGUAGAAUUAANGAUAGUGNCAUUUGUCUGCCUAUGUGUCUGGCCAAAUUACCGUGCCAGCAGUCGCGGUAAUACGUAGAAGACUAGUGUUAUUCAUGUUUAAUCGGUUUAAAGGGUACCUAGACGGCAAACCAAGCUUUAUACAAAUUAGAAUUAAAGGACUAGUUUGCUAGAGUUACUUUUGAGGGGGUUUUAAAGUACUGCUGGUGUAGAGAUGAAAUUCUGUCAUACCUAUCUUCAAAGGAAGAAUCAUGGCACAGGUAUAGGCGAAGGCAUCCCCUUAUGUGAUAACUGACGUUGAGGGACGAAGGCUUAGGUAGCGAAUUGGAUUAGAUUCCCCGGUAGUCUAAGCAGAAAAUGAUGAAUGUCAUAGAUUAGAUAUAAGUUUAUUCUAUAAAUGAAAGUGUAAGCAUUCCACCUCGAGAGUAAUUUGGCAACAUUGGAACUGAAAUCAUUAGACCGUUUCUGAAACCAGUAGUGAAGUAUGUUGUUUAAUUUGAUGACCCGCAAAGAACCUUACCACAAUUUGAAUAUUUAUAUUAUUUUUUGUUGUUUUCUUAUUAAUUUUAUUCUAACAACAUGAUGUAAAAAACUGAUAUGAACAAAAAGAAGAAGUUUAAUAAAAAGGCAAUAAGAUAUAUUUACAAGCGUUGCACGGCUGUCUUCAGUUAAUGUCGAAGAGAGCUUUGGUUAGUUCCCUUANAUUAGGGUG
Molecule: ribosomal RNA, 730 nt
Filed under: Melanelixia subglabra
Lineage: Eukaryota; Fungi; Ascomycota; Lecanoromycetes; Lecanorales; Parmeliaceae
Description: SSU rRNA
Rfam family: Bacterial small subunit ribosomal RNA
Source: RNAcentral